GACGAACGCUGGCGGCGUGCUUAACACAUGCAAGUCGAACGGAAAGGCCCUGCUUUUGUGGGGUGCUCGAGUUGCGAACGGGUGAGUAACACGUGAGUAACCUGCCCUUGACUUUGGGAUAACUUCAGGAAACUGGGGCUAAUACCGGAUAGGAGCUCCUGUUGCAUGGUGGGGGUUGGAAAGUUUCGGCGGUUGGGGUUGGACUCGCGGCUUCUCAGCUUGUUGGUGGGGUAGUGGCUUACCAAGGCUUUGACGGGUAGCCGGCCUGAGAGGGUGACCGGCCACAGUGGGACAGAGAUACGGCCCAGACUCCUACGGGAGGCAGCAGUGGGAAAUAGUGCACGAUGGGCGGAAGCCGGAUACAGCAACGCCGCGUGCGGGAUGACGGCCUUCAGGGUGGAAACCGCGUUCGCCUGGAACGUAGAGUGAGUGACGGUAAUGGAUAAAGAAGCACCGGCUAACUACGUG
RNAcentral lists this ribosomal RNA (468 nucleotides) under uncultured bacterium. Its description in RNAcentral is "partial 16S ribosomal RNA". It matches the Rfam family "Bacterial small subunit ribosomal RNA", at positions 28 to 507 of the family's 1533-position model. The record is from RNAcentral.